ACCUGAGAUAUUACGGGCAUAUAACUAGCAGCUGGCCCAACCUUCUAAGGGCCAGUGAAUCAUUCUGAUAUAAUCCGACCCCUAUAUUCUACUGCCUUGAUAUCUGAUCCUUCGGUCCGAAUCCCUUCCAAUAUAACACUGUAUUAUCUUAGAGUUCUAAGGACCUCCCCUAGAUAAGUGGCGAGUCCCUUGACCCGCUGCUUACAUCUUCCUCCUUUGAACAUCGUCACCAACACUUCAUUCAUUCCAGCGGGUCAGUAGUCAGGUAGCCAGCUAGUAAGCUAAUAUUGAUAGAUAGGUGGGUGGCUACUGAUGUUAGGGUUAGGGUUAGGUUAGGGUGAUGUGUAUUCUCAUAGAGAUUGAUUGGAUACUGAGCAGGAAGGUUGGUUGAUAGAUAGGGGGUAGAUAGGUAGCUAUCUAGCGGGCAUUCUAUAUUCCAUUGGCAAUUGAUCGGAUAUCACGGACGUCUAAGUAGUUGCUUGUAUAUCAGC
RNAcentral lists this small RNA (491 nucleotides) under Histoplasma capsulatum. Its description in RNAcentral is "hypothetical RNA". RNAcentral also lists the same sequence under 1 other name. Lineage: Eukaryota; Fungi; Ascomycota; Eurotiomycetes; Onygenales; Ajellomycetaceae. The record is from RNAcentral.